GUGUAGAAAGAUUAGUUGGCUUUUUUUACGGGAGAAGGUGCUGGAAACGAUGGAUGUGGAGGGGAAGGAUCCAUGUGUCUUUCCAGAGCCAACGAGGUGUCCGAUUUUUUCUCAGAGCCCGGACGCCCGUGUCUUAGCGUUUCCGUUUUGUGAAACACUAAAGCAUUAUUUGUCAAUGGAGUCAUAGAGUUUGGUCCUUAUUUGAGGUAAUCAAUUAAUCAUAUUAGCUUCAUUUUGAAUGAAAGAAAAAUAGUUCGAUUAAAGGGCCCAUAGUUUCCGAUUUGCCCAAGGGUUCUUGAAACCUUAGAGCCGACCCUACAGCGAACAUGGCCU
This 333-nucleotide long non-coding RNA is filed under the name Setaria viridis. Its description in RNAcentral is "long non-coding RNA (SVIR_LNC005869)". Lineage: Eukaryota; Viridiplantae; Streptophyta; Magnoliopsida; Poales; Poaceae. The record is from RNAcentral.